This is a non-coding RNA of Oryctolagus cuniculus (rabbit), 3250 nucleotides long. NCBI's taxonomy places the organism in Eukaryota, Metazoa, Chordata, Mammalia, Lagomorpha, Leporidae. The record is from RefSeq and is a predicted model, not a curated record.
UUGUCGUAUAAUUGUUCUUCUUAUGCUUUUCUGUUUCAUUUCUUACUCUGACAUCACGUCUUAGCAUCUCCUGCUCAACAAUAAUGACCUUUGUUUCAGAAAAAUCAUGAUAUUUUCACAUAACAUGAAAUAACAUCUAAUAGAGUCACUUUACCUCUGUCUACUAAUAUCUAUGUGGCACUAUAGGAAGUCAGAGGAGGGUGGCUAAUACAAUCUGGUGUCGUAUAGAUAAGAUUAUUGGAGGAAAUUACUUAUGAGAUGAAUAUUAAUCAAUGAAGAACUCACGGAAAUGGGCACAGUAAGAGGAAAUCCAAAUGCAACUAGGCUUGAAACAGUGUUAUGUAUCAGAAGCCACAUUGAUUUUAGAGCUUUUCUUUUAAUAUCAAACUAACAGUUAAAGCAAAUUAGUGAAUAGGGACAAAGACGUAUACAGAGAUCUUUUCUAAUACGCUUAGAAUUUUGAUUUUAGCUUCCAGUUGUUUUAAUUGAUUUUGGAAUGUUAUAAUCUACCUUUUAGUUUACCAGUAGUUGUGUGAGGGAAGCAUUAAGGCUCACAGGACAUUAGAAAGAUUUGGUAUGCAUAGGUAAAUGCUGUUCAGUUGUUUUUUUUUUUUUUUUCAGUGAAUGCAUUGUUGGGGAGUCGAAUUUGAUGCCAGUUUCCAGCUGCAUUGUUUUGUGAAGAUGCCAUAGCAUUCAAUCCACAAUGCUGUUCUUUCUGGGCAACCUUUGGGUCAUGGCUGAGGGCAUGGUUCACUAAGAACUAGCCAUUUCUGCAUAUGUUAGAUUCCUCCUGGUACAAUCUUUGUUCCAAAUUUCCCCAUUACAUUGGUCAAGAUCAUUGUCAGAUCUGCACAGCUGUCAGAACGCUCGGCUUCAUUUCUAUUUUUUUCAUCAUCCCUUUCCCAGGGGGCAGCCUGUAGUGAAGAAUUAAGAACUAAUCUAUUCAGUCCUGCUUCCCUGACCUGCCUUUAUCUUUCAUAGGAAUUAUUCUCCCAGAAGAAAUUUGCAUUACCAACUUCUUUCAAGAAUCUAAAUUCAUAGGCUUCAAAUUGAUACAGAAGGAAAAUGCACUGGGAGAUACUACACUGCAGUAUAGUGGAGUGGAAUAAUGAAGAUCUUAAACAGAAUAUGAGAAUACUCAGAAUAUGAGGAGACAUUGUGACAAAGUAAGCUUAAAAAGUCAAAUAAUGAUUAUAAUGAUAUUUUAAAAUAUCAUUAAGUUUAACAUUUAACACUAUCAAUAACACUGUAAAAUAGUGUGUCACCCGUUUCAGGAAUGUAUGAGAACACAUAUAUGUGCACAAAAAUAUAUACAAACUUAUUUACUCUUCUUGAAAAUCUUUGAUACUAAGAGUACCCACUUUUGUAGGUUAAAGAAACAAAUGCAUCAAGGGAAAAUACUUUAAAUACAAAUAAGGAAGCAGAAGUAGAAUUUUAAUUCAGAGUUUCUUUUCUGAAGCUUGGUUUUUAACCAUUACAUUGGCAUAUUAGUCUCAACUUCACAUAGCUUUCAAUUAAAAAAGAAAGGAAAAUUUAUCAUGGAUUAUUAGCAUACUUGUUUUCCCUACAACUGACACAAACAUGUUGUUUCAUGUGUAUCACAUUUGGGCUUAUUGUUUUUCAAAAAGAUGAAGAAAUAAAGAAGGAAGUUUACUAUGAGAUUCUGGAGAGACUUCCACAGAGUUGAUAUCUUAAUUUUAGACUUGUUAACAAGAUGAAAUUUCAGACAAUUCUUUUAACUGGGUGUUCAAAUACUGAAACCAUGCAAGGAAAACAUUUAUUUUGGCUGGCACCAUGGCUCAAUAGGCUAAACUUCCACCUGUGGCGCAGGUACCUCAGGUUCUAGUCCCGGUCAGGGCACCAGAUUCUGUCCCAGUUGCUCCUCUUCCAGUCCAGCUCUCUGCUGUGGCCCAGGAAAGCAAUGGAGGAUGGCCCAAGUGCCUGGGCCCUGCACCCUCAUGGGAGACCAGGAAGAAGCACCUGGCUCCUGGCUUCGGAUCAGUGCAGUGUGCAGGCCGCAAUGUGCCGGCCUUAGCGGCCACUUGGGGGAUGAACCAACGGAAAAAGGAAGACCUUUCUCUCUGUCUCUCUCUCUUACUGUCUAACUCUGCCUGUCAAAAAAAUAAAUAAUAAUAAUAAUAAUAAAAGAAAAACAUUUAUUUUGAUAUUUUAAAAAUAAUGUCAAACAUUUCUCUUACUGCUAUAAUAAUAAAGUAAGAAUUUUCUAUAAUAUAUUUACGGUAUGAUCUAAAAAAUGCAAAGAAAACAUAUCUGGUAUCAAGAUAACCAACACCACAUGGUGUGAAGAACAUUGAGUAGAUGGAGUGUACAGUAUUGAAGAUGAUACGUUUGAGUAUUUUAUAGUGGAAGAAGGAUACUGUUGAUGGCUAAGAAGAAACAUUGCAUCACAGCUGUACUUCUUGACCAGAAAUGUGAGGAUGACAGUAAACAGUUUCAAACUAGCCUCAAAAAAGAAAUCUCCUUGAAGCACACCAGCAUCUGGUUGUUCAAAUCAAUGACCUGUAAGCUAUAUUUGACUCUUCCUCUCUUCUUUGUCCAUUCAAAUAAAUUACGAUAUUUAACACUUUGUUGCCUUUCAUGUCUUCUGCCAGCACUCAGGACUCUAUUCUUGUCAGCGCCUGAAAUAUUAUCUCUUUGUAUAUGAGGGUAUUUUAAAAAGUUUAUGGAAAAUGCAUAUUAUAAUAAAACCAUGCCUAGUGUCAGAUAUUUUUGCAUCCAAUCUUUUAAUUCUAUUUUCUAUGAAUUUUAGACCAUUUUAUAGAAUAAAUCUAGGGGCAAGUAUUUACUAUAGAGGUUAAAACAGAGCUUGACAUCUGGACCCCAUAUCAGAGUAUCCAGAUUCUCUCUUUUUUUUUUUUUUUUUAAGAUUUAUUUAUUUAUUUGAAAGGCAGAGAUACAAAGAGGGAAGGGGAUGGAGGGAGUGAGACAGGGAGAACCCAGGAGCAGAAGCUUCUUCCUGGUGUCCCACACAGGUGCAGGGACCCAAGUACUUGGGCCAUCUUCUCUUGCCUUCCCAGGCACAUUAGAGGGAGCUAGAUUGGAAUAGAGCAGCUGGGACUCAAAAUGGAGUCUACAGGGGAUACUGGCACUACAGGGGAAGGCUUAAGCUUCUACAUCACUGUGCUGCCUACCCCUCACUCCCCGAUUCUUUACAUGACUUUGACUCCAACUGCUGACUCCAGCUUCCUCCUAAUGCAGACACUAGAAGGCAGUAAUGUUAGCUCAGGUA